AUGAUCAGUUUAACUUUGUGCGAGAUGUUUAGCCCUAGAGAAAAUCUCAAAUCUAUGUUGACGCUAUCGAUUGAUGACUCUUGGGCCAAAUUAUUAGAACACUGUUGUAUAUUUUUCUUGACAAGGUGGAAUGACUGCAAUGUGAAACAAAUGGAGUCUAUAUUACUUACAGUAUGGAAUGGAAGUAGAGAAAAUCUCAAAUCUAAGUUGACGCUAUCGAUUGAUGACUGUCGGGUCAAAUUAUCAAAACAGUGUUGUAGAUUUUUCUUGCCAAGGUGGAAUCGCUACAACAUGAAAGAAUUGGAGUCUAUACUAGUUACAGUAUGGAAUGGAAGAAGUAUUUUCAGUAGUGUGGUGUUGUCCACAUGCAUAUGA
This 375-nucleotide ribosomal RNA is filed under the name Triticum aestivum (bread wheat). RNAcentral describes it as "partial small subunit ribosomal RNA". Lineage: Eukaryota; Viridiplantae; Streptophyta; Magnoliopsida; Poales; Poaceae. The record is from RNAcentral.